RNAcentral lists this RNase P RNA (391 nucleotides) under Hyphomicrobiales bacterium. RNAcentral describes it as "Rhizobiales bacterium (stromatolite metagenome) RNase P RNA component class A". It matches the Rfam family "Bacterial RNase P class A". Rfam says of the family: Ribonuclease P (RNase P) is a ubiquitous endoribonuclease, found in archaea, bacteria and eukarya as well as chloroplasts and mitochondria. Its best characterised activity is the generation of mature 5'-ends of tRNAs by cleaving the 5'-leader elements of precursor-tRNAs. Cellular RNase Ps are ribonucleoproteins. The record is from RNAcentral. Lineage: Bacteria; Pseudomonadati; Pseudomonadota; Alphaproteobacteria; Hyphomicrobiales.
CCAGCCGGCCGGAUGGCCGCUCCCGCAAGCUUCGAAAGAAGGCGGGGGAGGAAAGUCCGGGCUCCACGGGAAUACGGUGCCGGGUAACGCCCGGCGGGGGCAACCCCAGGGAAAGUGCCACAGAGAUCAAACCGCCAAACGGCUUCGGCCGCGGCAAGGGUGAAACGGUGCGGCAAGAGCGCACCGCGCGGCCGGCAACGGCAGCGGCACGGCAAACCCCACCGGGAGCAAGACCGAAUAGGGGUGGCGCGAGCUUCGGCUCAGGGCUGUUUCCGGCCCGCCGCCCGGGUAGGUCGCGCGAAGCAUCCGGCGACGGAUGCUCCAGAUGAAUGGCCAUCCAGCGCCGGGCAACCGGCGCGGACAGAACCCGGCUUACAGGCCGGCUGGCGCC